RNAcentral lists this unclassified non-coding RNA (520 nucleotides) under uncultured Entrophospora. RNAcentral describes it as "SSU rRNA". It matches the Rfam family "Eukaryotic small subunit ribosomal RNA", at positions 569 to 1084 of the family's 1831-position model. The record is from RNAcentral. Lineage: Eukaryota; Fungi; Glomeromycota; Glomeromycetes; Entrophosporales; Entrophosporaceae.
AGCAGCCGCGGUAAUUCCAGCUCCAAUAGCGUAUAUUAAAGUUGUUGCAGUUAAAAAGCUCGUAGUUGAAUUUCGGGAUUGACACAUCGGUCGUGCCUUAAGGGGUAUGAACUGGUGUAGUCAAUUUCUCACCUUCUGGAGAACCGCGAUGCCCUUAAUUGGGUGUCGCGGGGAACCAGGACCUUUACUUUGAAAAAAUUAGAGUGUUUAAAGCAGGCAUUUUGCUUGAAUACAUUAGCAUGGAAUAAUAAAAUAGGACGGCAUGAUUCUAUUUUGUUGGUUUCUAGGAUCACCGUAAUGAUUAAUAGGGAUAGUUGGGGGCAUUAGUAUUCAAUUGUCAGAGGUGAAAUUCUUGGAUUUAUUGAAGACUAACUACUGCGAAAGCAUUUGCCAAGGAUGUUUUCAUUAAUCAAGAACGAAAGUUAGGGGAUCGAAGACGAUCAGAUACCGUCGUAGUCUUAACCAUAAACUAUGACCGACUAGGAAUCAGACGAUGUUAAUUUUUAAUGACUCGUUUGGC